Molecule: long non-coding RNA, 782 nt
Organism: Cucurbita maxima (winter squash)
Lineage: Eukaryota; Viridiplantae; Streptophyta; Magnoliopsida; Cucurbitales; Cucurbitaceae
Exons: 4
Source: RefSeq, a predicted model, not a curated record
CUGGACCGUGAAGCGGUCGGCUUACUGUUCGGCCGGUUCACAUUUUCCAGUUCGGUCCGUCGUCGGGCGUUGAUAGGAAGGAUCUGUAAACAGGGAGACUUGUGAAAAUGGAGGAUCGCUUAGCGAGGAUCCUCUAUCAAUCACAGAGUAGUCAAUGAGACAUCCGUGGAUGUGGAAGCUGAAUUUCUUGAUCAUCAAUAUAUAAGGUGCUUCUACAUGGUAUGGUAGCGACUUUGUCAACGUUUUACUAUUUUUGUGAGAGAUCCCACAUCGGUUGGAGAGAGAAACAAAACAUUUCUUACAAGGGUGGUCCUCUCCCGCUCUCUCUCUAUCGGUCGAGCAGCUUCACUCCUUUCCAAUCUCAUUUUUUGAUCGACAGGAGUAUGCCAAAAGCUAGGUUACUACAUCGAACUGUUUGCUCGAGAGAUGAAUCCCGGAUGCCAUUUUUAAGAAUCACGAUGCUUCACAAUCACGUAAGUCAUGCCAUGCCGGGAUUCAUGCAUCUAUCCUCAUGCAGGGGGUGGGGUUAUGGCCUUGAAUUCGAGUAAUGGGUCAUUUUCCAAAGCCAUAUGGGGGGUGGCCACAUGCUUUGAUCUUUUGCCUAGCAUGGGCAUCUGCGAGUGCUCCCAAUCCCUCGAAGGAAAGCUGUCGUGUCAGCCACGGCCCCACCCUGCUGCUAAUUAUUUGUAUCAUAACCAACUCAUUUAUGCUUCUUCUAAUUAUUAGAAAACAUUUGUAUACAAUAAUAAAAUAAACAAUGUAAUAUCCUUAAAUUAAAUUUA